CCUACGGGUGACAGCAGUGAGGAAUAUUGGUCAAUGGCCGAGAGGCUGAACCAGCCAAGUCGCGUGAGGGAAGACGGCCCUACGGGUUGUAAACCUCUUUUGUCGGGGAGCAAAGCGAGUCACGUGUGACUCAUUGAGAGUACCCGAAGAAAAAGCAUCGGCAAACUCCGUGCCAGCAGCCGCGGUAAUACGGAGGAUGCGAGCGUUAUCCGGAUUUAUUGGGUUUAAAGGGUGCGCAGGCGGAGUUUCAAGUCAGCGGUAAAAUUGCGGGGCUCAACCCCGUACUGCCGUUGAAACUGCAUCCCUUGAGUGCGCGAGAGGUAUGCGGAAUGCGUGGUGUAGCGGUGAAAUGCAUAGAUAUCACGCAGAACUCCGAUUGCGAAGGCAGCAUACCGGCGCGCAACUGACGCUCAUGCACGAAAGCGUGGGUAUCGAACAGGAUUAGAUACCCCUGUAGUC
Molecule: ribosomal RNA, 459 nt
Filed under: uncultured bacterium
Lineage: Bacteria
Description: partial 16S ribosomal RNA
Rfam family: Bacterial small subunit ribosomal RNA
Source: RNAcentral